Molecule: RNA transcript, 1957 nt
Organism: Nilaparvata lugens (brown planthopper)
Lineage: Eukaryota; Metazoa; Arthropoda; Insecta; Hemiptera; Delphacidae
Exons: 3
Source: RefSeq, a predicted model, not a curated record
AUCUGUUAUCAAUGAAGAUGAAGAGACUUCUAAUAAUAUUCAUAGGUUAUGUUUCCAUAAUACUGUCGACUGUCUUCAAAAUACAACUAAAGUUCUCAUGGAAGUUAAUAAUAAACAAAUAAAUAAUGAUUUACAAACUCAUUCUUAUGAUUCUGAUUCACCCAGAGUUAUGGAAGAUAACUGUAACCUCUACAAUGAAGUUUUGAUUAGUGAAGACAAAAAUGAAGUUAACACUCAUGAUCUAGGACCCUAUCGAGUGACAGACAUCCUGGGCAAGGGAUGCUAUGCUCUGCAGGAGGUCGCUACCGGCAAGAUGCUGCGAACCAAUCAGGCGAUGAUGAAGAGGUUUCGUCACCGGGAGAUCCUACCAGAGGACCCUAGCAAAGAACCUGACAACCUUGACAGCAAUGUGAACCUCACCGUGAGAUAAACUAUGUGAAUCUCAUGAGAUAAACUAUCUCAUCAAAUAUUAAGGGUAUGUUUGCUACUUCUAAUUAAUUAAAUUGAUGAUAAUUCUAUUUUCAGGUGUUUAUCAAUAUUUUGUGUCUUCAAGAUUGGAAUGAGAGUCUAAAUACCGGCUAGACUUGAAACUACAUAUUUAUAUGCUGAUACCAUAUAAAUUUGUGAUUCUAUAAUUAUAUUAUUGCUUCUUAAUUUGGAAAUAUUUGUGUUUAAUGAAUAAUAAUUUUUAAUACUUGCAGCUAAUUGAUUACUUUAUAAGCACUUUCAAAUUGUUUGUUUCCCAUUCAAGUUUAGGAUGGAAUUAGUUAUUGUGUCCAGUUGGAGUUUAACCGCAUAUAUUAUGUUUUAUGUUUAAAUUUUGAUAACCAUAUUUUAUGCAUAUGAUUGGAUUGAAGAAACAAUUAGUGUAGGUGCCCACCCUUUUUUCUAAUUCUAGAAUAGGUAUCUUAGGGACAACUGUUUUAUAGGUUUACUAAAACAAACAUCAUCAAUAUCGAAUUACAUUAAUGAUAGGUAAUUUGUUGCUUCAUGUGAUAAACAAUAAUGAAUAACACUGAUAAUUCUACACUCAAGAUUAAUAAUCAACAUUAUAAAAUAUUAAAAGAUAAGCAUAGCUCAGCUCAUAAAUUGUGUUUGUUGAUAACGAAAUAACUGAUAAUUUGAUAAAGUACUUGGUAGGAUAAAUAUUAAUAUGAAUUAUAAUUGUUUAAUAAUUGAUGUAUAGAUUUUUUUUGUGAAUUACCUGAUUAUGUACUAUGUAUUAAUGAUAAUAUUCUCUUUCACUGCAAGCGCGGCACAGCACGACGUGGUUCCGAUCCCGAAAAGUUCAGAGACUAUUCGAGAUUUGCGCCGCGCUGCGGUCCAAUGCAUGGAGGUCACAAAGUAGGAGGAAUUCUUUCUUCUAUGUGAUGGAGGUACACUUGAUCACUUGAUACGCCGCACUGCGUUGCGCCGCUCCACCUUCGUAGUGCACACUCUACAUAAAGAAACAUUCUGCAAUGGAGAACAAGUCAUCGCUUGUCCCCCUGAUGAAGGAAGUGAGAGGGCAGAGGAGGAUGAGAGGAGGGAGAUGGACUUUGUCCAACUCAUCAAUCAGCCUGCAGCCAAACCCUGGGUGCCACUGAGAGAGUUGAAAGAGGAUGCUCCCUACUCUAUUAUCAGCGUGAGGGAGCAUACCAAUAAACACGGACGAUGAGUUAUUUUGAAAAUUAGCAAUUCAGGAAGCAAAUCUGUGUGUGAGGUAUAUGUACCGCAACAAUUUGCUUCCUGCAUAAGCACGGAAAAAAUUGUAGAGUUCAGCAAAAAUUGUAAAAAUUUUGUAAUGAUAGUAUCACAUAAGUGGGGGAAUUGGACUGAUAUAAAAAUUGUUAAGCAUUAACAAUUUUUAUAUCUAUACAAUUCGUCGACUUAUGUGUUACGAAUUGUAUAGAUGUGUGUGUUAAAGUAGUAUUAGUAGUGAAUAAAUUGUGUACAUAUUUGAUAAAAAAUUGUUUUC